GGCAGAAGGAUCACAGUGUAAAAAAACCCAGCAGCUUUGAGCAGGAGAAGGAGAAUGAAAUAUAGGGCUGGAGAGAGAAAGGAGACCCAGAAGAGCAGCAGUUGAUUCAUGCAUAAAUCAGCAGAAUCUGCUAUCACCCAGCCAGAUUACUGAGUUAUCCAUCCUGAACCUGAACAGCUUCCAAAUGCUACACUGCAGAUUCAGCUUAUCUAAUUCAAUACGUUUCAGAAGCUUCGCUCUGCGUGCCUCUCCAGACUUAUUUUGCAAAAAAAUGCAGGAAAAAAUCAGCAGCUCCCAUUCACAUCACAGCUCCUGAAUCUGUUGUGCUCGGGUUUGCUCUGUAACCACAGGGUGAUGCUUUCUCAACAGAUGCUGGUUUCAAACAGAAUAGCCGAGGUUAUUAUUAAAGGCAGGGUAUUGGUCCUCUUUUUGAGGCUUUGCUGCAGAUGUCACUCAUGACCAUAGUUAUUUCUGCUUGAUACAGCUCAAUGUCUUGUAAAGCCUAGGAGCAGUCCCUGAAGGCAGGCUGUGUCCUUCCUAGAGACUGGCUUAACUUCCUUCAAAUACACCCACCCCGCAGGAGAAAACUUGAUCUGAACAGCUCUUGUCAGCAUAGGUCACAAUGGACAGUACAAAUUCCAUAGAGGCCUUACAGUGUGAGUCAAUGCUCCCAGCCACCUUGGGCCAUGCUCAGGAGUGUGCUGGAGUGGGAUCCAAUGCUGUGUGGGGAAUGCAGGACAUUUCUGCUGUGCAGUCCUUUCCCCAGGUAUCUCCAGCAAACCCAUGGAUGUCCCCUGAACAACUCCUGUGCCUCAGAAACCCAUGUGAAGCUCAUGCUUUGCACUUCUACAUAACCCCACUAAGGCCCUCCAGAAACUGGGCUGGUACAGUGUCUUCUGAGGAAAGAAAUAUUCCAUGAUGAUGUCCUGCCAGGGAAAGAAAUGUAGUCUUUAAAUAUAAGAGUGGAUUUAUUACAUGAGAAAAAUCUAGUGUGGGUUUUGUCAGCAUGUUUUUAAUACUUUCUGAUUCGGAGGAGAAAAAAUUAUUACCACUGUAGGUGCCAAAUCAACUGCCACUUCCCAGCCAUCCCCAAGGAGGGGACAGUGUGUCACCUGGCUGUGGGCAGAGGCUGAGGGCAAUGACAGCUGGUUUUUAAUCACAUAUCACUGGGUUUAAUAUAGCUCAGGUUUAUAGUGGUUACUUAGUGGCUGUUUUAUGACCCUUGUGAUGUGACUCUGGAUUUCCUCCAGUUUCUGGUAGACAAGAUCUCAUGUGAUUCACUGUUCUGUUAUUCUCACACUGCUGUCCCUUCCCCUUCCUUGUGCCUCAGGGGAGCUCUGGUUGGUUGGUCACUGUGUCCUUUUUCAGGUUUUGGGAUAUAUUUGUCAGGGUUUCAGGUGAGACCUCAAUCAGAUGAAGUAUCCAUGGACCUCUUAAAGCCCGUGCCAUAGCAGAAAAGUUUGACUGGUUUAAGUAUACCCGUUAAUCUUUGAGAUGCCAUUUAUUCCAGUAGGCACAGACACUUGCUGUUGUUUCACUGUCUGCCUUCUUAUUUAUGAUCUUUAUCCUCAUACUCAGUGCAGAAAUUGCGCCUCUAACUCUUCCGUAUGUCAUCCUGAAAGAGUCUUCAAAAAAUCUCUGUUCUACUUUGUUACCACAACCUGCUUUUGCAAACAAAAUCUUGUCCCAUGCCAGGACAACAGUAGGGUGCAAGUCCAGCUUUAGGGGCUUCUCUCCUUGGUAUCCUUGAUUCUUUAUUUCAUAACAUAAAUGGAAUCCAUUUGGGAAAUAAUCAGCUUCUAUUGCUCGGAGUAGCAGUGAUCAGGUACUGUUCCUUCAGGUAUUUGAAAAAAAUAUCCGUGUACAUGAAUAUACCACAAAAGCAGGAGUUUGGAGCCUGAGAAUCAGGGAAUGAAGAG
This is a long non-coding RNA of Coturnix japonica (Japanese quail), 1919 nucleotides long. NCBI's taxonomy places the organism in Eukaryota, Metazoa, Chordata, Aves, Galliformes, Phasianidae. The record is from Ensembl.